UUCCCCUUCGGGGGACAAAGUGACAGGUGGUGCAUGGUUGUCGUCAGCUCGUGUCGUGAGAUGUUGGGUUAAGUCCCGCAACGAGCGCAACCCUUAAGCUUAGUUGCCAUCAUUAAGUUGGGCACUCUAAGUUGACUGCCGGUGACAAACCGGAGGAAGGUGGGGAUGACGUCAAAUCAUCAUGCCCCUUAUGAUUUGGGCUACACACGUGCUACAAUGGACAAUACAAAGGGCAGCGAAACCGCGAGGUCAAGCAAAUCCCAUAAAGUUGUUCUCAGUUCGGAUU
This 286-nucleotide ribosomal RNA is filed under the name Staphylococcus aureus. Its description in RNAcentral is "partial 16S ribosomal RNA". It matches the Rfam family "Bacterial small subunit ribosomal RNA", at positions 1013 to 1299 of the family's 1533-position model. Lineage: Bacteria; Bacillati; Bacillota; Bacilli; Caryophanales; Staphylococcaceae. The record is from RNAcentral.